GGGGCGGUGGUCUAGUUGGUAUGUCGCUCUGCCUUGUAGGCAGAGAGGUCGGUGGUUCAAAUCCAUCCCGCUCCA
This 75-nucleotide transfer RNA is filed under the name Colletotrichum orbiculare MAFF 240422. Its description in RNAcentral is "tRNA-Thr (TGT) (tRNA-Thr-TGT-18-1)". It matches the Rfam family "tRNA". Rfam says of the family: Transfer RNA (tRNA) molecules are approximately 80 nucleotides in length. Lineage: Eukaryota; Fungi; Ascomycota; Sordariomycetes; Glomerellales; Glomerellaceae. The record is from RNAcentral.